Triticum aestivum (bread wheat) is the source of this 698-nucleotide long non-coding RNA. RefSeq lists it as uncharacterized. The transcript is spliced from 3 exons. NCBI's taxonomy places the organism in Eukaryota, Viridiplantae, Streptophyta, Magnoliopsida, Poales, Poaceae. The record is from RefSeq and is a predicted model, not a curated record.
UGUUAUUCCAUAUGAUUGGAAUCGAUGAAAGCACCCAAGGAACAAUUGAAGAGCAAAUGUUGUACAACAGAAAAACAUUGAGGGAAAUUAUAGAAUUGCGAUAUGCUGAUGUCCAAAGAAAGGAAUUUGUAUGCACAACAAAAGCAACAAUUGAUGAUAUUAUAACAGAUAAAGGCUGGUGGUACAUGGCAUGCAAACUUUGCUUUGUGCUACAAAAAAGGAACAUGAUAACUACAUUUGCACUUCCUGUCAUGAAGUAGCUCAAAAUCCAGACAAGCGGUACCUACUUAAACUGAAGGUACGCAAUGGCACGGCAACAACAACUUUCGUGGUGUUUAACGAGGUAGCAAAGAGUCUUUUAGGCAACAUAUCUGCGUCGACCCUAUUAGAGCAGGAGGGAUUCAACAACACGGUACCAGAUGUUAUUCAAAAUCUUUAUGGCAGAACACUCCUAUUCCGACUGAAGUUAAAUUCAAGGAAUCUAGAAGAGUGUAUGGAAAAUUAUAAAGUGAGCUACACUUUUGAAGUUGAUGACAAACUUGAGAUGGAAAAUUCAAAUGAAAUGGCUGAAGAGGUAUGCAUGCACAUUUGAGUAUUUUAAAUGGCUUAUAAAAUUAUAAUAUGAGCACACUCUUUAUAGGGCAUACUGGAAAUGCAAGACACACGAGGUUCUUCAAAUUCUGAUAUGCACAAUUUCC